AUUAAAACGGUGAAGAGGAAGAGUAGGAUAGACCCAGUCAGUAGAGAUAGGAUGCCCAGGCUGCAAGCAUUCUUUGAUAUGGAUAUAGGAAAACCCCCUCUGAGUUGAAUCUGAGUAGUCUAAUGGCAAAAAGAUUUACGGGUUGGCAACGUUACUGUCAAUAAGUGGAUUGAAUCAAUUAGGGUGGAACCGCGGGAGCUAACUCUCGUCCCUUUG
RNAcentral lists this non-coding RNA (216 nucleotides) under Geosporobacter ferrireducens. RNAcentral's name for it is "T-box sequence". It matches the Rfam family "T-box leader". Rfam says of the family: Uncharged tRNA acts as the effector for transcription antitermination of genes in the T-box leader family. T-boxes are found upstream of many aminoacyl-tRNA synthetase genes and some amino acid biosynthetic genes usually in Gram-positive bacteria. The record is from RNAcentral. Lineage: Bacteria; Bacillati; Bacillota; Clostridia; Peptostreptococcales; Thermotaleaceae.